UACGUAGGCAGCGAGCGUUGUUCGGAGUUACUGGGCGUAAAGAGUGCGUAGGCGGUGUUCCAAGUCUGUUGUGAAAUCUCCCGGCUUAACUGGGAGGGUGCGGCGGAAACUGGGACGCUGGAGUACGGGAGAGGUAAGCGGAAUUCCUGGUGUAGCGGUGAAAUGCGUAGAUAUCUGGAGGAAUACCGGUGGCGAAGGCGGCAUCCUGGACCGACAUUGACGCUGAACGGCGAAAGCUAGGGGAGCAAACGGG
This 253-nucleotide ribosomal RNA is filed under the name uncultured bacterium. Its description in RNAcentral is "partial 16S ribosomal RNA". It matches the Rfam family "Bacterial small subunit ribosomal RNA", at positions 524 to 776 of the family's 1533-position model. The record is from RNAcentral.